Molecule: long non-coding RNA, 1203 nt
Organism: Astatotilapia calliptera (eastern happy)
Lineage: Eukaryota; Metazoa; Chordata; Actinopteri; Cichliformes; Cichlidae
Source: Ensembl
GUUUUGGUCGUUUCGGUCUCCCACAUUUUUAUUUUUAUUUUUUUUUGAAUGAAUGAAUAAAGAAAAUCCGGACACAACUGGACACCAAGAUGGAAAUAAAGCAAAGUCCUCUAAUGUGCCUCUUUAUUUAAAGAAAAUAAAAAUGUCAUUUAAUCAUCCUCCCAGGCCAAACAAGGUUUUUGCACCUCCAGUCAGUUCACUCUCUGUUGGGGAUAGACGUGUACUGUAGCAGAAGAAAAGGCUGAUGCUGUUUGUACAAGGAGAAGAGCUCGUCUUGUUGGGUGCUGCUCACACAUUCAUAGUGCCUGUGCCAUCGGGUAUGGCUCCAAAGGACCAAAGAAUUACUAAUAUUGCACACUCUCAUUUAUUCAUCUCCAUUCUAAACAUGCUUUCCUAUGUGUGUAUGUAUACAUAUUUACCGUAUACAUACAUAGGUAUGUACACCUAGGCACACACAUAAUUAAACAUGUAUAAUUGUACAUAUAUAUUUAUAUAGACCUAUAAAUUUACAUGUACAUACAUUUAUAAAAUUUUAUACACACAUACACACUUGCUCUCCAACACACACACACACACACACUCACACAAUGCAUCUGUGAGUCUAUGUUUGUUUUAUGUACACAUGCGCACAGGCACGCACAUCAGUACGGAUCGCUCACACAUACGCGCGCGUACGCACACGCACUUCAUAUCGAAAAAACGUUGGUUCCUAUUAAAACAACACCAGGUUGCAAUUUGGACACUUUCAAUGGAAUUCAAAUGUUUGUUUAAAGCUGUGAAAUUCAAAAAAUAUAUAUAAUAAAAGGAGGGAAAACGAAAAAAAUAAAAGAACGAAAAAAAAAAAAAAAAAGGCAUGGCGCUGCAACAUCUGGUCUUCACUGCAGAAAAAACUAAACUCUACAGAGAAAGUCCCCUACCUGCAGUCUUUCGCUGCCGAUAGAGUUUGACAUCAAGCUGUACAGCGCAGUUGAAAACAUACUUACAUCUGAGCUCAUUUACAGGUACAGCCAUAAUCAAGGCACAAAGAUCUACAAGUAGAUUUGUUUUUCUUUCAAUUAAGUUGUACAAAAUAAUAUUACAUUUUACAGUCUGUACAGGAUAAUUCAACCUUGCACAGUGUACAAGUUAACAAAAACCCCCCCAAAAAACCAAAAACAAAACAAUACAUUUUUUUUCUCUCCCGUCCCACCCACCCUCCUCCCC